CGCCCCGCAAGGGGAGCGGCAGACGGGUGAGUAACGCGUGGGAACGUACCCCCGGUUCGGAAUAACUCAGGGAAACUUGAGCUAAUACCGGAUACGGCUUUACGGCGAAAGAUUUAUCGCCGAAAGAUUGGCCCGCGUCUGAUUAGCUAGUUGGUGAGGUAACGGCUCACCAAGGCGACGAUCAGUAGCUGGUCUGAGAGGAUGAUCAGCCACAUUGGGACUGAGACACGGCCCAA
This 236-nucleotide ribosomal RNA is filed under the name uncultured bacterium. RNAcentral describes it as "partial 16S ribosomal RNA". It matches the Rfam family "Bacterial small subunit ribosomal RNA", at positions 67 to 334 of the family's 1533-position model. The record is from RNAcentral.